This 466-nucleotide ribosomal RNA is filed under the name uncultured bacterium. Its description in RNAcentral is "partial 16S ribosomal RNA". It matches the Rfam family "Bacterial small subunit ribosomal RNA", at positions 28 to 506 of the family's 1533-position model. The record is from RNAcentral.
GAUGAACGCUGGCGGCGUGCUUAACACAUGCAAGUCGAACGAUGAUGCCCAGCUUGCUGGGUGGAUUAGUGGCGAACGGGUGAGUAACACGUGAGUAACCUGCCCUUGACUCUGGGAUAAGCCUGGGAAACUGGGUCUAAUACCGGAUACGACCAUCUGGCGCAUGUCAUGGUGGUGGAAAGCUUUUGUGGUUUUGGAUGGACUCGCGGCCUAUCAGCUUGUUGGUGGGGUAAUGGCCUACCAAGGCGACGACGGGUAGCCGGCCUGAGAGGGUGACCGGCCACACUGGGACUGAGACACGGCCCAGACUCCUACGGGAGGCAGCAGUGGGGAAUAUUGCACAAUGGGCGCAAGCCUGAUGCAGCGACGCCGCGUGAGGGAUGACGGCCUUCGGGUUGUAAACCUCUUUCAGUAGGGAAGAAGCGAAAGUGACGGUACCUGCAGAAGAAGCGCCGGCUAACUACGU